This 494-nucleotide ribosomal RNA is filed under the name uncultured bacterium. RNAcentral's name for it is "bacterial SSU rRNA". It matches the Rfam family "Bacterial small subunit ribosomal RNA", at positions 15 to 507 of the family's 1533-position model. The record is from RNAcentral.
GAUCCUGGCUCAGGAUGAACGCUGACGGCGUGCUUAACACAUGCAAGUCGAACGAAGCACUUACGACAGAACUUUUCGGAGGGAAGAUGUUGUGACUGAGUGGCGGACGGGUGAGUAACGCGUGGGUAACCUGCCUUAUACAGGGGGAUAACAGUUGGAAACGACUGCUAAUACCGCAUAAGCGCACGGUAUCGCAUGAUACAGUGUGAAAAACUCCGGUGGUAUAAGAUGGACCCGCGUCUGAUUAGCUAGUUGGUGAGGUAACGGGCCCACCAAGGCGACGAUCAGUAGCCGGCCUGAGAGGGUGAACGGCCACAUUGGGACUGAGACACGGCCCAAACUCCUACGGGAGGCAGCAGUGGGGAAUAUUGCACAAUGGGGGAAACCCUGAUGCAGCGACGCCGCGUGAGUGAUGAAGUAUUUCGGUAUGUAAAACUCUAUCAGCAGGGAAGAUAAUGACGGUACCUGACUAAGAAGCACCGGCUAAAUACGUG